This is a long non-coding RNA of Lates calcarifer (barramundi perch), 410 nucleotides long. RefSeq lists it as uncharacterized. The record is from RefSeq and is a predicted model, not a curated record. Lineage: Eukaryota; Metazoa; Chordata; Actinopteri; Centropomidae. The transcript is spliced from 3 exons.
AGAUACACAGGGGUGAGUGACAGCAAUGUUUUCACAAUCAUGGUCUCAUCACAGGUCCUAAAAAACAGGUGACAACAUGUCAGAAAGCACAAUCGCAUGUCCCUUAUAAUCAUCGGUCAAAUGAAGCAUUGAUUGUUUGGCUAUUGUCCCAGUAAGAGUGACAGUAUAUUUCAGAGUGGAGACGCAGAGGUGGACGCAGAGGAAGCUAUUUUCGUGGAGCUCAUCCAAACUCUCCUGAAAGACCCUGCAGAGAGGCAGCAUUUUUACAAGGAGGUUUUUCCAACAGAGUAUGGUCUCAGCUAUGACACAGACAUGCAGCUCCUUGUGUGGGAGUUUCUUUCUAAACUGGAAAAACUCUUGCCAGUGCCAGACCUCGGUCAGACAGUUUCAUGGCUGACCUCUGCCCCUCC